GAUUGAAGAUAGCGUCAGGAUACGUCAUGCCAGGAGGCGGGACCGUAACGGAGUUUACGUCACACGGAAGGCUUCAGGAUGAAGCAGGAUACUCAGGAGAGAGUCAGGGACACCUCCAGGAAGGAGAACGAGAGCCGUACAUGAUGCGCGGCGGGCCUGGAAGCCAAAGGAAUUAUCAGGACGAUAAGCGCAGGAUGGCGCACAGGAAAAGUUGUCACGGAUGAGGCAGGGAGCAUCAAAGUAGCGGGAAAGCUGCAAACGAACCGGGAGCACUGUUUUAACAGUGCUCCCUUUUUUU
Molecule: non-coding RNA, 298 nt
Filed under: Pantoea septica
Lineage: Bacteria; Pseudomonadati; Pseudomonadota; Gammaproteobacteria; Enterobacterales; Erwiniaceae
Source: RNAcentral